GCCAGCGUGGCCCAGUUGGUAAGACUGGUAACCAAGGCCGCACACAUUAGAGAUGUGUGAGUUUGAAAUCUCACCGCUGGCA
RNAcentral lists this transfer RNA (82 nucleotides) under Blastomyces gilchristii SLH14081. RNAcentral's name for it is "tRNA-Und (NNN) (tRNA-Und-NNN-54-1)". The record is from RNAcentral. Lineage: Eukaryota; Fungi; Ascomycota; Eurotiomycetes; Onygenales; Ajellomycetaceae.